GACGAACGCUGGCGGCGUGCUUAACACAUGCAAGUCGAACGGAAAGGCCUUUUCGGAGGUACUCGAGUGGCGAACGGGUGAGUAACACGUGGGUGAUCUGCCCUGCACUCUGGGAUAAGCCUGGGAAACUGGGUCUAAUACCGGAUAGGACCGCACUUUAGUGUGUGUGGUGGAAAGUUUUUUCGGUGUAGGAUGAGCCCGCGGCCUAUCAGCUUGUUGGUGGGGUAAUGGCCUACCAAGGCGGCGACGGGUAGCCGGACUGAGAGGUUGGUCGGCCACAUUGGGACUGAGAUACGGCACAGACUCCUACGGGAGGCAGCAGUGGGGAAUAUUGCACAAUGGGCGCAAGCCUGAUGCAGCGACGCCGCGUGGGGGAUGACGGCCUUCGGGUUGUAAACUCCUUUCGCCAGGGACGAAGCGUUUUGUGACGGUACCUGGAGAAGAAGCACCGGCUAACUACGUG
RNAcentral lists this ribosomal RNA (463 nucleotides) under uncultured bacterium. RNAcentral describes it as "partial 16S ribosomal RNA". It matches the Rfam family "Bacterial small subunit ribosomal RNA", at positions 28 to 507 of the family's 1533-position model. The record is from RNAcentral.